UACCGACCCAAGGCAAACAUGCUUGCGCUCGUCUCCGAUCAAGUGAAGUCGCUCCGGUCGCUGGUGUACGACACCUGCAUCGUACCGAUGACCUCACGGUGGUACCGGGAGGUGCUACUGGAGUGCCCGACGAAUAGCGUCAUGCUGGACAUCGGCAUCGGCACCGCUGCAAGCCUCAUCGCCAACCGUGAUAUUAUCGUGAGCAAGAAGAUGACGGUAACAGGAGUAGACUACGACCUUGCCUACGUGCGCAGCGCUCAAAUGAACGUCGCAGCGUGUGGCGGCCGGUUGCAGGAUCUGGUGAGGAUCGAGCAGGCGGACAUCCACGACUAUAACAAGUCGCAUACAAAGAAGUUCGACAUCCUUUACUUUUCGGGAAGCUUCAUGAUCAUUCCGUCGCAGGUGGGUGCGCUGCGGCACUGUGUGCAGAUGCUCCGUAGUCCAGUGCCCCAGGUGCCGGGAGGAUGCAACAUCUUCUUCACACAAACCUUCGAAAGGCGCACGUUCAUUGGCCAGUACGUCACACCGCUCGUGAAGCGCGUGCUGAAGGUGAUCACAACAAUCGACUUUGGCGAGGUGACGUACGAGGAUGAAUUCCGCGCCGCCCUUGAAGAGGCGGAUGUGGAGAUUGUGGGUGUGAAGCCUAUCCAUGCCUCGUAUUAUCGAACCCAAGCGCUUGUUAUGGCUCGUCCACGCGUGACAAUGGAGCAUGAGUGAGCGCCGUGACUCUCGUUCUCGCUGUUCUUGUUUUUUUUUUUCCUUUUCACAGAGCGAGCGAGAGAGUGCAUACUGCGAACUUGGUUGUACUGGGGAGCGUCCCGAGUCAGUGUUGUCGUGGGAAAAGGGUUGCGCCAUCACAACGAGGUGAGGCAUUGGAGUGUCUAGGAGACGGCGCUCUUUCUAUCACCGUCGGACGGGGUACCCACAAAAGACGGAGAAAGAAAAGCAUAAUCUCGUUUAUGGGCGAAUUCUCUCUCCGUUGCCGCGUUGCCGUUUCUCAGUCAUGUGACACAAUAGUGGCAACGUGGUGAAGCGAACGGUAGUAAUAAAAGCACCUCACAUGUUGCGCAGCUUGGUUGCGGGUGCGAAGCACUGAAUCACUUCACCGUAAACACGCAGCUCUUUGUGUUACUGUUCACUGCAUGUACACCUCUCCCUUUCUCCUACACUCCGCCCAACCGCUCGUACUGCAUGGCACUUCAUGUAUACACGUGUGCAUGUGUCUUCUGCAAAACAAAG
This 1239-nucleotide unclassified non-coding RNA is filed under the name Leishmania donovani. RNAcentral's name for it is "gene:LdHU3.28.3140(CDS-product:Methyltransferase_ domain_containing_protein_putative)". Lineage: Eukaryota; Euglenozoa; Kinetoplastea; Trypanosomatida; Trypanosomatidae. The record is from RNAcentral.